GAUUGGACUAGGUCGGGCGGUUUGGCCCCGCCCACUACCCGCAUUAUGGUCAUUAGCGGGGACCGAACACCGGGUGCGUCCGGUCAGACCGGUUCGGACCCUGGAAGCCGACGUCGAAGCCUCGUCCGACGGGGACGGCGGUUCGUAGCCUGCGCCUGCAGGGGCGUCUUGGCUACGAUUCGUCGAUGGCACCCCGUCAGGCACGGAAGUGAGCAGCGGACCAUCGAACGUACGUCGCUCGUCGGGUCGCGGGGUGGAGGAGGCGCCCGGGACUAUUCGGACUGGAACGGCGGGCAACCCCGGCCGUCCACAU
RNAcentral lists this signal recognition particle RNA (313 nucleotides) under Halanaeroarchaeum sulfurireducens. RNAcentral describes it as "Archaeal signal recognition particle RNA". It matches the Rfam family "Archaeal signal recognition particle RNA". The record is from Rfam by way of RNAcentral. Lineage: Archaea; Methanobacteriati; Methanobacteriota; Halobacteria; Halobacteriales; Halobacteriaceae.